GAUUCCGUAGCUUAAUUGGAUAGAGCAUGGUUACGGCCCAGGAGGUUGGGGGUUCGAGUCCCUUCGGGAUCA
Molecule: transfer RNA, 72 nt
Filed under: Geofilum rubicundum JCM 15548
Lineage: Bacteria; Pseudomonadati; Bacteroidota; Bacteroidia; Marinilabiliales; Marinilabiliaceae
Rfam family: tRNA
About the family: Transfer RNA (tRNA) molecules are approximately 80 nucleotides in length. Their secondary structure includes four short double-helical elements and three loops (D, anti-codon, and T loops).
Source: Rfam by way of RNAcentral